RNAcentral lists this transfer RNA (54 nucleotides) under Meloidogyne exigua. Its description in RNAcentral is "tRNA-Met". The record is from RNAcentral. Lineage: Eukaryota; Metazoa; Nematoda; Chromadorea; Rhabditida; Meloidogynidae.
UUUAUUAAUAAUUAUAUUAUUUAAUUAAUAUUUGUUAUGAUAAAAAGUCUUUAG